Molecule: long non-coding RNA, 818 nt
Organism: Daktulosphaira vitifoliae (grape phylloxera)
Lineage: Eukaryota; Metazoa; Arthropoda; Insecta; Hemiptera; Phylloxeridae
Exons: 2
Source: RefSeq, a predicted model, not a curated record
UUCGGCUUGUGUAGUUUACAUGAAGAUUAUGACAAAGGGCGCGCUGUAGUAGUGAAUUUACAAACUAAUUGUAUUAUUUAACUAGACAUUUUUUUUUUUAAAUUUCAUUUUAAGUUGCUCACCAUAUUUAUCAUUUCAUAUUGUAUACUAUUGCUCAUUUACAUUAUUUUGAUUAGAUAGUUUAUUUUUGAGUUCUACACAAUUUUUUAAAAUAUUUCCAUAAAUAUUUUGACCACACUAGUUACGCGCAUAGUUAGAGCGCGCUGUUCUUCUAAGAUGCGUAGAUUAAUGUGACUUUAAUCUACACGCAAUGUCUAUAACAUUAAAUUAAUAAUGUAAGGUGUCGCACGUGUGCAUGAAUGGGAAGUAUAUAGAUUUAUUGGUGGAUGUGUAUUAUUAUUCCUUGCAAUGUUACUUUUUCUGACUAGUAGUCAUUUAUAAUAUAAAUUAAUUAUUUUAAUUUAAUCACAUUAAAUAUGCAUUAUAUUCCACUUUAAACGCUUCUAAUAUUAUUUAGAAAAAUGGAAAUUUUUACAUCAGCUCCAAAUAAUUUCAAAAUUGAAAAUGUUGAACGAGAUGAACAAAAAACUGAAACGAUCAUUAUUUUUGAAUUACAAACAGAGAAUGGAAUGAAAAAAAAUAUAAGAAUGACUUCUUCUCAACUUCAAAACAUUCAAAAUAAUGUUUGUAGUUUAUUGAAGCAAACUAUUGUUUUAAAAUCCAAACUUAAACUUAAUUAGUAUUGUAAUUAUAUUAAUAUAGUUUUAAACAUACUAUACGUUUUUGUUUGAUAUAAAGAAUAUAUCUGAUUUUUUUAA